RNAcentral lists this long non-coding RNA (1293 nucleotides) under Cairina moschata (Muscovy duck). RNAcentral's name for it is "domestica (muscovy Duck (domestic type)) lncRNA (ENSCMMG00000005870.1)". The record is from RNAcentral. Lineage: Eukaryota; Metazoa; Chordata; Aves; Anseriformes; Anatidae.
AUGCAUCUGGCUCAGCUGCCCAGGACCCUCAAACCCUCCCGGGCUCCCCAGGUUCCACUCGUCCGUGCUCAGCAUGCUGAGAGCAUCGUGCACGAGGCUGAAAUAGGGGCGAGGUGGCGCUGCCAUCAUGCAGGUCACUGGUGGUGGCUCCUGGGCUGGCACCGAGGGACAAAAGGCCCCGUGCUGUGCCGCCCGCAUUGCCCCACGUCCCACCCUGGUGGUUUAUGCACCGAGGGGGUGCUGCUGGUGCAGGAGCAGCCACCAAACCCGGUGCCCUCCCCAUCUCCACCGGCCGCCGAGCAGCCGCCGGGCGCAGGGCACCAUCGAUGCCACCGAGGUGCUUUGCUGGAACCCAGUCAAGUGUGGAAAGCGCCGUCAGAUUUUCCACUGCCGGGCUCUGGAGAGCGUCUCCGGCGCGUCCCCGCUGAGGGGCUGUGCUAUUUACAGCUCCUUGCUGCGAGGCGAGGCCACACGGCAAACGGCGAGGCCGCGGCCGGGCAGCUCGGGGCCGUCUCUGUAGCUGCUCCGCUAACCCCGGAGUCACCCCAAAUGUGUACGGAGAGCUGUGCGUGCACAAACGGUGUGCGCGCCAUCGGGUCUCCGUGGCAAAAUGUCCUUCUUGGGGUGGGGAGGAGGGUGUGGGGAUGCGGAGCGCUGCGUGCGGGACUCUGCGGUCACCGUCCCACCACAGGGCCCCCUCCCCAAGGGGCAAGGGGUCCCCAGGGUGAACUGCGUCAGCCCAGGCUCUGCUGCUCUCUCUGGAAGGGGAAACUGAGGCACGGGCAAAGGAUGUGGCUGUCCCUUGGGCACGGCGGUGACUGGCCCAGCCGCUGCACCCUGGCCUGGGUGGGGAGGAGAUGCCAGCACCGGGGAGUGAGGGGCACUUUUUUUUGGGGGGGGGGGCUCAUUGCAGCAAAUCAGCACCUUGGCGUUUGGGGUGCCCAAAGCACAGGGGAUUUUCUGCCUGGGGGAAGCCGCUGCCCCCCGCACCGUGCUGCACCCCAGGCAGCCGCCGUCCACCCUUUGUCCUUGGGGGCCCCCCCCCCCCAGCCAGCAGAACCGAGCCUUUCCCUCCCCUCCGGGCGCCCCUGCGGCCGCUCUGUCCCUUUAAAAGGACUCCAGGCGUGGCUGCGGGGCUGUCAUCCUGUCCCCGCUGGACCAGGGACUGGACAGCCCCGGACAGCCCUGGGCAAGUGGGGACCGCAGCCACCACGGGGACCGCAGCCUCCGCAGGUACCAGGGCUGACCCUGUUGGGUUGGGGGGGCUCACAAAAAGAGAGGGAGAACAAGUGA